GGAUGUUUCCCUGCGAAUUCUUGGGAAUUUCGCGGCAGAGACGUGUUCCUGUUGCGAAAGGACUCGGCGGGAAUAAACAUCGUAAUGUGAUGAUUGUACAUAUAUAUAAAGCUUAGAAAGGAAUGAUCUAUGGCAUACCGUACAUAUUAUAGUACCUCUGAAGGAAUUCAUUAGUUCGAAGUGCUGUACAAAGUAUAUUAUAUAGAUCCAUCCUAUUCAAUAUGUACAUUUCAUCUUACGAAUACUAUUUUCUUCUGUCGCUAGUCAUUCUUCCUAUGUAUCUCUUCUUCAAACUUUGGUCAUGGCUUGGAUGGGAGUUAUUUGUAAAUAAUUAAAAUUUCAAUACCUGAAUAGCUUAAGCGGUACUGCGAAUUUUACCUUUCUUUACACAUUAAAUUAAUCUUUGGCAAGUUAUUUCUUUUAAUUGCAUUUCUCUUGGGGCAUAAAUCUCUAGUUGUGCCUCUUUACCUGAUCAUCCUUGAGUAGUAGCGUGUAGUAGAUAAAAUCUAUCUGUAAUCUAUAUCAAAAUAAAGUAUAUCGGAAUUACAA
Molecule: long non-coding RNA, 549 nt
Organism: Dinoponera quadriceps
Lineage: Eukaryota; Metazoa; Arthropoda; Insecta; Hymenoptera; Formicidae
Exons: 2
Source: RefSeq, a predicted model, not a curated record